AUGAACGCUAGCUACAGGCUUAACACAUGCAAGUCGAGGGGCAGCAUUUUAGUUUGCUUGCAAACUGAAGAUGGCGACCGGCGCACGGGUGAGUAACACGUAUCCAACCUGCCGAUAACUCCGGAAUAGCCUUUCGAAAGAAAGAUUAAUACCGGAUAGCAUACGAAUAUCGCAUGAUAUUUUUAUUAAAGAAUUUCGGUUAUCGAUGGGGAUGCGUUCCAUUAGUUUGUUGGCGGGGUAACGGCCCACCAAGACAACGAUGGAUAGGGGUUCUGAGAGGAAGGUCCCCCACAUUGGAACUGAGACACGGUCCAAACUCCUACGGGAGGCAGCAGUGAGGAAUAUUGGUCAAUGGGCGAGAGCCUGAACCAGCCAAGUAGCGUGAAGGAUGAAGGCUCUAUGGGUCGUAAACUUCUUUUAUAUGGGAAUAAAGUUUUCCACGUGUGGAAUUUUGUAUGUACCAUAUGAAUAAGGAUCGGCUAACUCCGUGCCAGCAGCCGCGGUAAUACGGAGGAUCCGAGCGUUAUCCGGAUUUAUUGGGUUUAAAGGGAGCGUAGGUGGAUUGUUAAGUCAGUUGUGAAAGUUUGCGGCUCAACCGUAAAAUUGCAGUUGAAACUGGCAGUCUUGAGUACAGUAGAGGUGGGCGGAAUUCGUGGUGUAGCGGUGAAAUGCUUAGAUAUCACGAAGAACUCCGAUUGCGAAGGCAGCUCACUAGACUGUCACUGACACUGAUGCUCGAAAGUGUGGGUAUCAAACAAGAUUAGAUACCCUGGUAGUCCACACAGUAAACGAUGAAUACUCGCUGUUUGCGAUAUACAGUAAGCGGCCAAGCGAAAGCAUUAAGUAUUCCACCUGGGGAGUACGCCGGCAACGGUGAAACUCAAAGGAAUUGACGGGGGCCCGCACAAGCGGAGGAACAUGUGGUUUAAUUCGAUGAUACGCGAGGAACCUUACCCGGGCUUAAAUUGCAACAGAAUAUAUUGGAAACAGUAUAGCCGUAAGGCUGUUGUGAAGGUGCUGCAUGGUUGUCGUCAGCUCGUGCCGUGAGGUGUCGGCUUAAGUGCCAUAACGAGCGCAACCCUUAUCUUUAGUUACUAACAGGUGAUGCUGAGGACUCUAGAGAGACUGCCGUCGUAAGAUGUGAGGAAGGUGGGGAUGACGUCAAAUCAGCACGGCCCUUACGUCCGGGGCUACACACGUGUUACAAUGGGGGGUACAGAAGGCGGCUACCUGGUGACAGGAUGCUAAUCCCAAAAACCUCUCUCAGUUCGGAUCGAAGUCUGCAACCCGACUUCGUGAAGCUGGAUUCGCUAGUAAUCGCGCAUCAGCCAUGGCGCGGUGAAUACGUUCCCGGGCCUUGUACACACCGCCCGUCAACCCAUGAAAGCCGGGGGUACCUGAAGUACGUAACCGCAAGGAGCGUCCUAGGGUAAAACUGGUAAUUGGGGCU
Molecule: ribosomal RNA, 1450 nt
Filed under: uncultured organism
Description: SSU rRNA
Rfam family: Bacterial small subunit ribosomal RNA
Source: RNAcentral